This is a long non-coding RNA of Xiphophorus hellerii (green swordtail), 3700 nucleotides long. RefSeq lists it as uncharacterized. The record is from RefSeq and is a predicted model, not a curated record. The transcript is spliced from 3 exons. NCBI's taxonomy places the organism in Eukaryota, Metazoa, Chordata, Actinopteri, Cyprinodontiformes, Poeciliidae.
UGUUUCAGCUUUUUUUUUUUUUAGCAUACAAAAUGAAUUGAUAAAUUGUCACCAGAAACAUAUGCACUAAUCCAUAAAAUAUUCUCAAUAUUCUCCUUUUGCCAGUAAAAUUCAUGGAGCUGCUUUGCUCCUCAGGCUGGGAUAGAAAAUAGAAAAUAUAAUUAGAAAGAGAAAGAGGGGAAGAUGUGAAUGUCAAUAGGGGCUGAUGCAAGCCAUCAUCAUCAUCAUCAUCAUCAUCAUCAUCCCAACAUCACCGCCCAGGGCAGCAGACAGGCCAGGACCGCCUCUGGUCAUCUAAUAUCAGAUGAUACAAGGCAGCAUUUAUGUUAAAUGAAUGUAAUAAUUGUUGAAUAAUAAAUAAAAAAACCUUCUAAAAGUUGAUGUUUCUGAACAUGUUUUGCAGCACAGCCUGUGGGUGAGGUCAACGCUGUUUUGGGGCCCCUGGAAAAGUUUAGGAACCUGUGAUCCAACCAAAGAAUCUUUCUUGUUUCUGCUCAGCCGAAGUUUAGUCUGUUUAUGUUGUUCAUGAAUUUUCUCCUGAUGCAGCUUCACUGCCCUCGCUCCUCUCAGCUCUCCUUUGUGGGACGGUGUCAGAUGUGCUGCAGGUGGCCCCUGCAUUAACCUUCACCCUGCAGCCUGUGAGCAGCAGGGCGGGACGCGGCGCUCAGAUCGGGUUCCAGCAGCCAUUAUGCAUGACAUCAGAGCCGCUGGACAGUUGUGUACAGCUGUGGCCAGAGCAGAGCAGGAACUGGAACAAAACGACCCAGUGAAAACAUGUUUUUUUCUUCUUCGAUCCAAAAGUAUAAAUCAAUCUGCACAAGAUGAGGAAGAACCUGAUGAACACUUUCAUCAUUAAUGAGAAAUCAAGACUGGGAAUGAUAGUUUUACCAGACGUGUGAAUUCUUAUUUUGCCGUUUCUUUAGCUGGAUUUGAACUUCCUGUUCAACAUUUAUAAAACGCCACCGGGUUUUUUUUUUUCUUCUUUUUUCCAACAUGACCAGAGAGGAAUGUGGAACAGGUGCUGGCUCCGUUUUCAGCCCGGCUCAAAAAGAGCAACUGCUGGCCGCACCUGUUCCCCACCAGUCUGGGAAACUGGACCCAGCUCCAAACAUCACAAAGCACCAACCAGUAUCAUGAUUCUGCUACCAAAGAUCAUCCAAUAGAAGAGCCUGGUCUAAAGACGCCGAUUGGUCUACGCCUUCCAUCCUCUCCUGUAACCUCCACCAGGCGCUGAUGCCAAACCAAAACUACAGCCUCCCUGAUGACAGAAGUACACACCGUCACGCUAUGCUUCGGAGUGGUUUGGCGGAGAACCCGGGCUCCAGCCUAACCUGGUCAGCCAGUCCUGAACACGCUGCUGGAGCAGGAUGGGAAACAGCAACGCUUUUCUGUCUGGGCUCCAAGGUGAGGCCGAAGCCAAAGGUACGGUGAUGAAAGGUAUGCCCUUUUGUUAGGACUCCAGUUUUCUGUUUUCAGCUCUUUUUUUUUUCAGCAUAAUCUCUGUAGAACUCUUUGCUCAGCCAAAGUAUAUAACUGGUGUCAUCAGAUGUGCUUUUUAGCUCUGGCUUGUGAAAAAGCAGAAGCUGUGAGUUCAAAAGGGAAAUUCUGCUGACAGAGAAACAAGCUCCAGCUCUCCAAACCUCACAUGUUUACUGGUGCUCUCUUGGUUACAAGAAGUGAUUAAAGGAAAAACUGAUUGUGUGUGUGAUUAGUUGAGACUGCAGCUGGAUGUUAUGCACCAGAUUAUAACAAACAGCAAAGACCUAUUGUUUGAUGCUGAAACUCGGUUUAUGUUUAAUGAGUCAGUGUUAGCGUCCCUUUGUUCCGACCGGCUGCUUAUGGAAACGUCCCUUCAGAUCCACCAUGACCUGCCGGUGUGUGACGUCCACUUCUGGGAGGAAAAUCCUCACAGAUGUUUGAGUAAACCUGCAUCGCUUCGGAUUAAUGGAAUAGAAAAUGUCUGGAAAUGCCAAUAUAACACCUCUGGGAUUAUUGGGCGGCAACAAUUGCUUCUCUAAGGUAAUGUCUUUUUGGCUUGUCGUUGUGUAUGAAUACACCUGGCUGAUGUGAUCCCUCGGUCAACCAGUUUUUGUACAUUUUCAAGUGUGUUAACAAAAAACACCAAAGCAGUAAAGCCCAAAAGCAUUUCUUCCAAAAAAACAAAAAAAACUCAAUCUGUUUCUCAACUGACAAUUUCCAAAGUCUUUUGCCAAUUCCGGAGCCGGCGUCUCGUCAGACGGCGUCUCGUCAGACGGCGUCUCGUCAGGUUGAGUGACGCGUUCAGGGAGGCUGAAACACGUGAACGCAUGUGGGGAAUAAAAACAAGCUGCGCUCACACACCGUUUUCUUUCCCACACUGACACCUUGACGAUUCUCACCUCCAUUACUGCUCACCUUCUGUUCCCGGCAGGAAUGCUGGACGUGAGCCUCCAUCUCCAUCUAGUAAACAUGCUCUCUCGCCGCCGGGGCGACGCGCUCUCCAAAAAUCCGUGCUGAGCCUGAGCAAAUGCGCUCAGGCCGACAGACGAGCGCUCGCAGCCGCCCGCAGAAAGGACGACAAGUGUACACACAUGUGACCCCCGCAGAGGAAGUGAGAUUAGCUCUUUGCUGCUGCUGUAAUUCAGUUAUCCCUCUCAGCCUGAGGCCAGGCGGGGAGCGGGAUUCUGCUGCGUCCAGACUUUUGUCUGAUUGGCGGCUUUGCUCAUCCCUCCUGCACGCAGGUGACCGUCUUCUUCCCAGAGCCUGGCUCCUCUCCACGUUCCACCCCCACCUCGGUUUUCACACAACCUCCCGACACCAAGGCUUCUCUCUUGCUGCUAAUCUGCCAUCUUAAAUAUGGCUGCCGUGACGGCUUACUUUGUGACAUGACUCUUGACUCAGGAAUUUCAACGCCGCAUGAGGGUCUGGAGUUUCACUGGCAGCUAAAGUAAAUAUAGUUCAAACAUUUACAAAAGUUGAAGCAGAAGGUCACUUUAGUAAUAUUUAAUAUUUAAUUUAGCAGUGAGACUCAGUUACAAUAUUAAUUGAGUUAACUGCUGGGUCUGUACUUGAUCAGUCUUGUUUCAAUAUAUAAUAUUUUCAAAUUUUAAAAAAGCCUUUUUUUUGCUAAAUUAAUUGAUAAAUAGGCACAUGAGCACAACAAUAGAGAUAUUUAUUAUUGUUUCUCAUCUGUUAUUCAGGUCAUUCAACCAUCAGAUUUGUGCAAAGUUCUAUUUUAAUGCCUUUCAUCUUUCCUGAUCAUUCAUGGAUCUUCUUUAGAAAUGUGGACUGUAGAGGCUGACAUUAGCAUUGGUCUUUAGCAUUGAGAUGCAAUUUUAGGCUUCAAUAGCUUCGCUGAUAGGCUAACUCCUUUUAGCACAACUUGAACACAACAAUACUCUUUUCUAGCAUCCAAUCAGAUCCUUUUUUGAAGCAGAAUUUAACUCCCGGUGGGUCAAGAGAAGCAGCUUUAUCAUCCAUUCAUGCUCAAAAAAAGGUAAAUCAUCCAACAUGAAUGUGUUCAUUUUAGAAAAAAUAAAUAAGAAAAUAAAAAUAAAAUUAAGCUAUAUCGGUUUUGGUUCAGUUUAACAGCUACUAUAACCACUGAUUGGUUCCACACAUCAGCUUUCCUGGAUACAAGAUAGAUCUUAGAUUAUUUUUUUUUUUACCCCUCCAGGGGGUUUUUUGUGGGCUCUAGUGUCCCUUAAAUGAUAGUAGGCUG